GAUGAACGCUGGCGGCGUGCUUAACACAUGCAAGUCGAACGAUGAAGCCCAGCUUGCUGGGUGGAUUAGUGGCGAACGGGUGAGUAACACGUGAGUAACCUGCCCUUAACUCUGGGAUAAGCCUGGGAAACUGGGUCUAAUACCGGAUAGGAGCGCCUACCGCAUGGUGGGUGUUGGAAAGAUUUAUCGGUUUUGGAUGGACUCACGGCCUAUCAGCUUGUUGGUGAGGUAAUGGCUCACCAAGGCGACGACGGGUAGCCGGCCUGAGAGGGUGACCGGCCACACUGGGACUGAGACACGGCCCAGACUCCUACGGGAGGCAGCAGUGGGGAAUAUUGCACAAUGGGCGAAAGCCUGAUGCAGCGACGCCGCGUGAGGGAUGACGGCCUUCGGGUUGUAAACCUCUUUCAGUAGGGAAGAAGCGAAAGUGACGGUACCUGCAGAAGAAGCACCGGCUAACUACGUG
RNAcentral lists this ribosomal RNA (466 nucleotides) under uncultured bacterium. RNAcentral describes it as "partial 16S ribosomal RNA". It matches the Rfam family "Bacterial small subunit ribosomal RNA", at positions 28 to 507 of the family's 1533-position model. The record is from RNAcentral.